AAGUAGAGUUUUUCUAUAUUAUAAAUGUGAUGAAGAACGAUUGGUAGGCUUUAGGUGGGCAGCCAAUGAGUAUUGGAUUGCCCAUAAAGACCCUACUAAGUACU
This is a non-coding RNA of Capsicum annuum, 104 nucleotides long. The record is from Rfam. NCBI's taxonomy places the organism in Eukaryota, Viridiplantae, Streptophyta, Magnoliopsida, Solanales, Solanaceae.